GGACGAACGCUGGCGGCGUGCCUAAUACAUGCAAGUCGAACGGCUUUUCUAUGGAAGCUUGCUUCCACCGAGAAGAUAGUGGCGAACGGGUGAGUAACACGUGGGUAACCUGCCCAUAAGAGGGGGGAUAACAUCCGGAAACGGGUGCUAAUACCGCAUAGUUUUCUUGGUCGCAUGAUCGGGAAAGGAAAGACGGCCUUUGUGCUGUCGCUUAUGGAUGGACCCGCGGCGUAUUAGUUAGUUGGUGAGGUAACGGCUCACCAAGACGAUGAUACGUAGCCGACCUGAGAGGGUGAUCGGCCACAUUGGGACUGAGACACGGCCCAAACUCCUACGGGAGGCAGCAGUAGGGAAUCUUCCGCAAUGGACGAAAGUCUGACGGAGCAACGCCGCGUGAGUGAAAGAAGGUUUUCGGAUCGUAAAACUCUGUUGUCAGAGAAGAACAAGUUGGAGAGUAACUGCUCCAGCCUUGACGGUAUCUGACCAGAAAGCCACGGCUAACUACGUGCCAGCCGCGGC
Molecule: ribosomal RNA, 519 nt
Filed under: uncultured bacterium
Lineage: Bacteria
Description: bacterial SSU rRNA
Rfam family: Bacterial small subunit ribosomal RNA
Source: RNAcentral